GGGUGAAGGAGUAAGGCCGCAGGUAGACUACCUGUUUGAUAGGCCGCAGGUGUAAGCGCAGCAAUGCGUUGAGCUGAGCGGUACUAAUGGCCGAGGGCUUGACCUGCUUCAG
This 112-nucleotide ribosomal RNA is filed under the name Dehalococcoidia bacterium. RNAcentral describes it as "partial 23S ribosomal RNA". It matches the Rfam family "Bacterial large subunit ribosomal RNA", at positions 2819 to 2925 of the family's 2925-position model. The record is from RNAcentral. Lineage: Bacteria; Bacillati; Chloroflexota; Dehalococcoidia.